AAUGAUCGUGAACAUUUCCUCAUGUAUCUGUUAGCUACCUGAAUGUCUUCUUUAGUGAAGUGUCUAUUCAUAUCUUUUGCCCGUUUUUCAAUGGGGUUAUUUGUCUUUCUGUAGUUGAGUUUUUGCAGUAUCAUGUAGAUUUUAGAGAUCAGGUGCUGAUCGGAAAUGUCAUAGCUAAAAACUUUUUCCCAGUCUGUAGGUAGUCUUUUUACUCUUUUGGUGAAGUCUUUGGAUGAGCAUAGGUGUUUGAUUUUUAGGAGCUUCCAGUUAUCUAGUUUUUCUUCUGCAUUCUUAGUAAUGUUUUGUAUACUGUUUAUGCCAUGUAUUAGGGCUCCUAACAUUGUCCCUAUAUUUCUUCCAUGAUCUUUAUAGUUUUAGAUUUUAUACUUAGGUCUUUGAUCCAUUUUGAGCUUGUUUUUGUGCAGGGUGUGAGGUAUGGGUCUUGUUUCAUUUUUUUGCAGAUGGAUAUCCAGUUAUGCCAGCACCAUUUGUUAAAAAGACUGUCUUUUCCCCCUUUAACUGUUUUGGGGCCUUUGUCAAAUAUCUACUGCUCAUAUGUGGAUGGAUUUAUGUCUGGAUUCUCAAUUCUGUUCCACCAGUCCAUGUAUCUGUUGUUGUACCAGUACCUGGCUGUUUUGACUACUGUGGUGGUAUAAUAGGUUCUAAAAUCAGGUAAAGUAAGGCCUCCCACUUUGUUCUUCUUUUUCAGUAAUGCUUUACUUAUCUGGGGCCUCUUUCCCUUCCAUAUGAAGUUGGUGAUUUCUUUCUCCAUCUUACUAAAGAAUGUCCUUGGGAUUUGGAUCGGAAUUGCAUUAAAUAUAUAGUUCGCUUUUGGUAGAAUAGACAUUUUUAUAAUGUUAAGUCUUCCCAUCCAUGAGCAAAGUAUGUUUUUCCACUUAUGUAAGUCUCAGAGAUUUUUUUUUAAGUGAUGUUUUUUAUUAUGUUGAUUUCACCUAAACAGAGAUGAUUUUUAAAAUUAUUUUCCACACAGGAUCAUUUGAAAAAAUGUUAGAAAAAUCAAGACUGACAAAAAAUUUUUUUUUUUUUUUUAAUGUUACUUGCAGUCAUAGAAUAGCAGUCAGUACAUUGGAGUUUUUUCUUGGAAAAAAAAUUUUUUCUUAGAUAUGUUCAGAAAGAUAUGCACAACUGUAUAAAUUUAAUAAGAGCAUAUUAUGCAUACUUUUAUUUAAAUGAAAAUAUUCUAAAUUAUAAGAGUAGAAGAAUAUUUCCCAGUAAAAUAAUACAAAUAGCUACUAAGUGAAAGUUAUUUGCACUUUUACCCCCCACACUCCCACAGAAAACUUCUGUUAGAUUUCAUGUAGAUCUUUCCACACUCCUUUUGAUGAAUGCAUAAACACAUUAGAGGUCUUUUUCCACACAAAAAUAAAGAAACCAUUCUGUAUGUAUUUCCUUUUCUCUUUUAUUCUUUUUUUCCACUUUAAUCCGUACAAACUUCACUACCUAAAUGGCCUCCGGUGAUUCCAUCACACAGAUGAACCAGUUUGCUCAUGACACUUUUAUGUUACCCCCAACAUGUAGACAUUGCCCUCAUUCUUGCUUAUUGCCUUAGCAUAAAUUUUUAGACAUAGAAAUGUUGGGUCAAAAAUAAUGUACAUUUAAUACUGUGAUCCUUAUUGCCAAAUUUCCUUCCAGAAAUUUGCAGAGCUUCCUCCAGCAAUAUAUUAGUGUCUUCUUUGAAAACUCCACUGUAUCAGUUGGCAUUAUUUUAUCUUUUUAACCUUUGCCAAGAAGAGAAAUAAAACAAAUAUAUCAUUGUUAUUUUAAUUUUCCUUUCUUUGAUUAUUAGUUAGGUUUUAACUUGUUUAUUGGCCCCUGACACAUUGUCUCCAACAAUGGACUUUAGCAUAACAACAAUUGUAAGGAUGGCGCAGGACCGGGCAGUGUUUCUUUCUGCGCAGGACCGGGCAGUGUUUCUUUCUGCUGUACAUAGGGUCGCUAUGAGUCGGAACUGACUCAAUGGCACCUAACAACAAAAACAGUCAUUUUUUGGGAACGGGCAUUCUCUAAAGCCCUGGUGGCGCAGUGAUUAAGAGCUUGGUUGCUAACCGAAGAAGGUAGCAGCUCGAGUCCGUCGGCUGCUCUUUGGAAACUUUUGGGGCAGUUCUACUCUGUCCUAUAGGGGUCGCUAUGAGCAGGAAUCGACGGCAAAGGAUUUUUUUUUUUUUUUUUUUGAACGUGGCCUUCUCUAUGGACUUUGCCUAAUUUUAUAUUGGGUUGUUCAUCUUUUUCUGAUUGACUUGUAAUAGCUUCACUUAAAGUUGUUUCCCCCUCCCCCGCCAGGUAAUCUUGUCCCAUUUUUAAAGAAUUCUGUUUUUAUUAAAAUAAAAUAAAAUUUAUACAAAAAUCUAAGGGGAUUUGAUGUCUUUACAAUAUUGAGGCUUUCCCCUAGGAAUAUACUGGGCUUCAGUGGUUGCCUGGGAAGAGAUGCUGGGGGGAGGUGAGAGGCAGAAACGCAAAGGCACAUGGAAUGCGUUAGGAUUGAUAAAUACAUUCAUUGUCUUGCUUGUGGUGAUGUUUCAUGGGCCUAUGCAUAUAUCGGAACCCCUGGUGGCAUAGUGGUUAUUGGAACCCUUGGUGGCAAAGCGGUUAAGUGCUAAGGCUGCUAACCAAGAGGUCGGCAAUUCAAAGCCACCAGGUGCUCCUUGGAAACUCUAUGGGGCAGUUCUACUCUGUCCUGUGGAGUCUCUACGAGCCCGAAUCCAGUUGACAGCACUGGGUUUUUUUGUUAUAUAUAUAUAUGAACUUGUCAAAUUUUAUACGUUAAAUAUGUGCAGUUUAUUGUAUGUUAAUUGUGGCUCAAUAAAACUGUUAUAAAAAAAAAAAAGUGGCAUCAAGCAUGCAAUAAACAGUUUUCAGCCAAGAACAAAAAUUGACCUUGAUCAGAAUAUUUUUCUUGAAAUCUUGGUUAGAUGUCUCCUGUUACAGUUAAGAUGGCUUUCUAAAAUAAAUUGGAAAGCCAAAGACAGUUAUUUUAACCUUCAAGAUUAAGGAAACUGAACCAGUUAAAGUCAGUGCUUCCAAAUGAGAUACAGUUGGGGGGGAAAAAAAAAACCCUAAAAACAAAUAUGAUUUCUGAGUAGCAUUAUCUGGGAAUAAACAGUCUAUAAGCUUCUGAGAAUGAAAGAGAGAGGAGAAUAAGCAAGAAGGAAAGAGUUUUAGGAUUGCUUUAAAUCUGAGCCAUGUAGUUAGAGAAUAACGGCCUAUGAUAAAUUUCUAGAGAUACUUCAGUAUUGAGAAAGAGCCAUGCUCAAAAAUCUUUCCUUUUAGUGCAAGAAGUGACAACCUAAUGAUUUCAAAAGGCAAUAUGACUUGAGAACGCACACACAGUUAUCAGCCAGGAUUUAUGGAGUUGAAGGUGACUGAAGAAUGUACCAGAAGGACAUGCCUCUGGGAAAAGAUGCCAAGUGAUGUGCACAGGGCUCUGAGUCAGCUGGCACUUACACACUGUCCAAAGGGGUCAGCAAAAUGAAUCUUCAUAUUGGGGACUGCCUGGAAGCACUGUACUCAGGCUUAGCUGUUGCAGUAGAAAUACCCGUUUAUAAAUUAUUGUUAAAUGACUUGAAAACUUCUUUGCUGUAAGAAUGUAAUAGAUUUUAAAUUAACAGUUCAGAUCAAAUUAUCUUGAUUAGAAGAGGAGGAGGAAGAGUGAGAAAAGGAGGAGGCAGUAAAGAUAUAUAUAUAUAUAUAUUUCUUUUUGAGGCAAUUAAAGAGUAAUGGGAAGAACUCUGGUCUUGGAGUCUGAAGGCCAGGGUUCAAGUCCCAGCUUUGACAUUUACUGGUUGUGUAAUAACAAAAAAAUUGUUUAGCUUUUCCAAGCCUCUUGUUCCUCAGAUAUGUAAAUUGGUUAUAAAAACAAUUUAUGUACCUUCCAGGGGUGUGGUAAAAAUCAAAAGUGUUAAUGUAUGUUUAAAUCUUUUUCAAAGUACGUUAAAAUAAACCAAACCCAUUGCCAUCAAGUCAAUUCCGACUUAUAGUGACCCUAUAGGACAGAACUGUCCCAUAGGGUUUCCAAGGAGUGGCUGGUGGAUUCAAGCAGCUGAGCUUUUAACCACUGCGCCACCAGGGCUCCAAAGUACAGUGGGCACUACAAGUAUUAAUCAUUGUUUUUGUAUUGGUAGUUGCUGUUAAGUUGGUUCCGACUGAUAGCAACUCUACGUACAACAGACUGAAACACUGCCUGGUCCUGUACCAUCCUCAGAAUCGUUAUGCUUAAGACCAUUGUUGCAGCCACUGUGUCAAUCCAUUUCUUUGAGGGCCUUCCUCUUUUUCGAUGACCCUCUAUUUCUCAAGCAUGUUAUCCUUCCCAUACACUGAUCUCUUCUGAUAAUAUGUCCAAAGUAUGUGAGACGUAGUCUUGCCAACCUUGCUUCUAAGGAGCAUUCCGAUUGUACUUCUUCCAAGACAGAUUUGUUUGUCUUUUUGGCAGUCCACUGUAUAUUUAUAUAUUGAGCAUUACUCUGAUGAUAUUUACCCUUCACUAAGUACAUAUAAUUGAUUAAGCAAUCAUUACUUUCCAAUGUUUGUUCUUUUGGCACUCUGGUUUUAAAUCUACAUUUUUUUCCCUUUCCUCAAUUAGUUUCUUUUAUAGUAAGACUAAAGCUGCUUUUGUUUUGUUUUAAGACUGAAGUGUUAAUAUUAGAAAAGAGCUGUUGUAUCAAACUGAUGGACUUCAGACAGUAACCAAGGACGUGUUCCUGUGCAAUCCCCAAGCCAACACACACACACAAACAUUCUAUCUUUAAAAACUGGUGGAGGGUGAAAGGAAAGUUAAUUGGAGCAAGCAGAUGGGACAAUUGUAGGCAAACUAGUGGGCCAAGUGAAAUAAAACUAGAUUUUAUUGUGUUCCUCUUAUCUGCAUAGACUUGAAUGGGUCUCAGUCCUGGGUUUCUAUUAUAGCUCUAUCUGUGCCCUAUGCAUUGACUCUAUCUACAAGGAUGCCUUGAAGGCACCUCAAGCUCAGCAAGUUCAAUUUAGAACUCAUUAUCUACUCCCCAGUUGCUUCAGCUAGAAGCCUUCGGGUCACUCUUGACUUCUCUCUCUCUCCUCAAAUCUCUCCCUUGCCCCAUAUCAAUCAGACUCCACAUCCGGUUGAUUCUACCCUCUAAUUAUCUUCAGAAUCUGCUUCUCCUCAUCUGCAUUUCUAUUGCCAUUGCCUGAGUUUAGGUUAUGGGCUUCUCAGUCUUCAGUUUCCUGUUUCCCUCCUCCAAUCUAGCCCUUAAAUUGCUAUCACCAAGAAUUAGCAUUCUGCAAAUGCAAACCAUCUCUCCCAAACACAAAAUGUUCUCUACCCUAUGGAAAUUUAGCUUUAGAAUAUAACCAGGUAAAUUAGCUAAGAUACAUGGGUUAAAAAGCUGUUCAUCAUAGUAUUGUUUAUAAUGGGGGAAAAAAAGGAAAGAACACUAAAUGUCCAAAAGAAGGGGUCUGUUAUAACAACAGGCUAUAAAAUUGUCAUUAAAAAUUGAGCUAGCAAAUCUGUAUUAAAUAAUCUGCAAAAAGCAUUGACAAUACUAAAGUUAACUAUAAAAUGCAAACUACUCAAUAAUGUGCAUAGAAGAAAUAAUGGAAACUUGGCGACCCCAUGUGUGUCAGAGCAGAACUAUGCUCCACAGGGUUUCAAUGGCUGAUUUUUCAGAAAUAGAUCACCAGGCCCUUCUUCUGAGGCACCUCUGGGUGGACUCAAACUACCAAUCUUUCAAUUAUCAGGAGUGCAUGUUAACCAUUUGCUUCACCCAGGGAUAUAGUUACUAUAUUGUAAAAAGAGAAUUCUAGAUGGUGGAAUUCAGCAGAAAUUUUUCUAGUCCCACCUUCCAAAAAACAAAAGCAAAUGGGAAUUAGAACAAAAACUCCACUAUGUAGCUCUUUACAAAAGGUAACCACUUCCUGCAAGAAUUUCAGUGACUAGGCAAAAUCAUAUAACUGAGCACCAGAGAAACGCUACUCAACGAAUUCACCAAUGUCCUAAAACUUAUGAAAACCUGGGGCUUUGGGAGAUCCUAUAUCUGUCUCAUUUUUUCAAGAAAAUUUUUCAUAGGAUCUCUGAUAUAAAAUACCACACACUGUCCUCAGUCCAUCAUGGUUUACUUCAUCCAUGUACAACUGUGCUUUACCUUUAUGUUUCUUUAUAAAAAUAACUGCUCAUGCAUAUCUUAAAGGCCAGUGAAAAGGGAUGCUGUAAGUAUGGGGAUAUGGGAUGGGGAAGGCCUGCUGCUCAGAUGUUUAGCUCUACGUCUGUCUCUCCGUUAAGGUCCCUGCUACGAGAAAAACCAAACCCAUUGCUGUUGUCGUGGAUUAACUUGUGUCCCCCCAAAAUAUGUGUCAACUUGGUUAGGCCAUGAUUCCCAGUAUUGUGUGAUGGUACACCAUUUUGUCAUCUGAUGUGAUUUUCCUGUGUGUUGUGGAUCCUACCUCUAUGAUGUUAAUGAGGCAGGAUUAGAGACAGUUAUGUUAAUGAGGCAUGAGUCAAUCUACAAGAUCAGGUUGUAUUUUAAGCCAAUCUCUUUUAAGAUCUAAAAGACAGAAGUGAGCAGAGACAUGGGGACCUCAUACCACCAAGAAAGCAGCACCAGGAGCAGAGCAUAUCCUUUGGACAUGGGGUUCCUGCACAGAGAAGCUCCUAGACCAGGACAAGACUGAUGACAGGGGACUUUCCCCAGAGCCAGUGGGGAGAGCAAGGGCCUUCCCCUGGAGCUGAUGCUCUGACUUCUAGCCUACUAGACUGUGAGAAAAUAAACUUCUGUUUUCUGAAGCCAUCCACUUGGGGUAUUUCUGUUGUAGCAGCCCUAGAUAAUGAACACAGCCAUUAAGUCGAUUCUGACUUACAGUGAUUCUGUAAGACAGAGUAGAACUGCCCCAUAGGGUUUCCAAGGCUGUGAUCUUCAUGGAAGCAGACUGCCAUAUUUUUCUCCUGUAGAGUGGCUGGAGGGUUUGAACCACCAAACUUUCAUUUAGCCUCUGAGAAAUUAGCCACUACUACCAAAAAAAUAAUUUUUUUUAUUUUUAUACCAAAAAAAAAAAACCUGUUGCCAUCGAGACCGUUCCAAACCAUAGCCACCCUAACCAGUGCUAGGAGUUAUUUUCAAACCCUUACAGUGGCUCAGGAAACCCUGGUGGUGUAGUGGUUAAGUGCUAUGGCUGCUACCCAAAAGAUCAGCAGUUCGAACACACCAGGCACUCCUUGGAAAUUCAGUGGGGCAGUUCUACCCUGUCCUACAGGGCCGCAAUGAGUCAGAAUAGAGUAGACAGCAGUUGCGGGUUUGGUUUUCUUUUCUUUUUCUUUUUGGCUUUAUGCUGGCUCAUUCACUAUCUCUUAAAUAGUGCUAUGAUUAUGAUUAGUAUUAUUUUUUAUUGUGGGAUCUGCACAGGCAGCAAUAACUUUUGUUUUCCUCCUUUAUUAGGAGACUUGAAGACAGCAAGACCUAGUAUUUGGGUACCAACCACCAACAGCAUUGCAAUCUGCAUAGGAUAUAACGCUGAUUGGGCAAGCCAUUAUUUUUUUUUUUAUGGAAAUGCAUUUGUUAAAUUCCAUCUAGUGCAGUGUGUUAGGAGUUUCUUUUUCAUUUUGUGAUGACAGAUUGCCUUAUAGCAAAUAUCUUUGUCAGAAAAAAAAUGAUUAUACCUUAAUCCCUUCUCAAAGCAUUUCACUUUUAUUCUUGUUUCCCUCCCAUCCUUCCCACACAGCUGUAUCUCUUUUAUAUUAUGAAAUGUAAUUGGCAGGAGUAAAAACAUUGAGUCAAAUAAUGUGAACCACUUUAUUGAUGUAAAUAUCUACACGCGAGAUUAGUGGAGAAUUCUGAAAGAGAUACCUAAGUAAUUAAUACUGGUCCCUUUGUGAUUCCCAUGAUGUCUUGUCAUAUCUAAGAAAUAGUUCUUUCAACUGAAUACCACAAUAAUAUUUCAAAAUGCUCCACGUUAAAUAGUAUUAAAGUUUUUAAUACAAAGUGUUGAUUUUUCAGUUACAGAUAUGUCUGUUUUGCUUUAGAAUUUUUAAAAUUAACAGCGAAUCUUAAAACCUUUGUCUUCAUAAACAAAACAAAGUAGUUAUGUCAGUAAUAAAGUAAAAAAAAAAAGACUGCCUUUUUGUUUUUGUGAAUAAGUGUUUUUAAGAACACAGGUUUCUGGGUUGAGACCAGCCUGGGUUCAAGUUCACUCUCUGGCACUUGGCACUUACUAGCUGGGUAACUUUAGGCAACUUGCCUGAACCGUUUAAUGAAGCACUGGUUUUCUCCUCUGUAAUAUGGCCAUAGUAAUAGCACAUGCUUGGUAGUAUUAUUUUGAGAUAAAAUAAGAUAAUGCAUGUAAGUGAUUGGCCAUUUGCCUAGCACAAAAUAAGUACCCAAAUGUGUUUUGAAAUCAUUUUGUGUUAUUCUAAAAGUCAUAAUUUAUGGUUAGUAAACAUUGUGCCUUUAGCUUAUAUUCACUUCGCAGUUCACAAACUGCUGUCACAGGCAUGGCCUCAUUUUAUCUUUGCCACAUACAUGAGACAUAAAAUUAUUAUCCCUGUUUUUUGGGGAGAAGACUGAGGCUUAGGAAAGCUAAAUGACUUAGCUAAGGGAUCACAGGUUGUCAGUAGCAGAACCAGGACUAAUCAAUGUACCUCUUAACAAGGUCAUCCCAGAAGCUAAAAUAUUUGUCUCUCUCCUGAAACAUAGGUGGACAGGUUUAGUGUAGGCAACAGUUAGACUUCUGUAUUUCGUUUCUGGCAUUUGAUGCGGUUCCUGUUAUAGAAGUCAUGACCUUGACUCUCACCUAACAGAUGGCAUUGCGUUGCUGCCCAGUGAAGUGGUUUCUUUUCGCAACUGAGCAAACAAAAUCAUGGUCUGCGUUUUCAUUAGGGCUUUCCACCCCUAUUCUCAGGAGGGCAGACAUUGCUCUCAUAUUUUCAGAAGGGAAAGGUUACACUGAACUUUCCACACUCUCCAGAAAAGAGAAUAUUGGAGAUUCUUUGACAAAAGUGAAAGUCUGUGCACAUUCCUUUAUUAAUAAGGGAAUUUUCCGUCCUCAUGGGAAUAUGAAUUUGAAUUAUUAGACAUUUGCUGAAGCUAGAUAAUAUAAAGGUGUCAACCUGUAUCCAUAAAAGACAAGACAGUGGGAGGAAGAGGCCAAGAGAAGAGGAGUACAGAUUUUACCUAACCCUGUUUAAAUUUAUCUACAUUGUCGUGGGGUCACAAUGCUUAAGCAUUAGACUGCUAACCUACCAGCAUUUCCACAUGAGAAAAGACCUGGUGGUCUGCUCCUAUAAAGAUUAAAAAAAGAUUACAGACUCAGAAACACAGUGGGGCAAUUCUACCCUGUCCUACAGGGUUGCUAUUAGUCAGAAUUGACUCAAAUCGAGGUCACACAACAACAGUCACAUCUGAAACAGAAUUUUUAACUUAAUUUAAUUUUAGUUACUGUAAACAGCCGCUUGUGGCUAGUGGCUAGUGGGUUUGUAUUGGAGAUAUAGACUAUGUCCAUUAUUGCAGAAAGUUUUACUGAACAGCGUUGGGCAUAGAGAGAGAACUAUAGAAGCAUAAACCAAGCCAAACCAAACCCACUGCCACUGAGUCAAUUCCGACUACCAGCGACCCUAUAGGACAGAGCAGAGCUGCCCCAUAGGGUUUCUAAAGAGCAGCUAGUGGAUUCGAACUGCUGACAUUUUGGUUAGCAGCCGAGCUCUUAAUUACUGCACCACCAGGGCUCCGUAGAAGCAUGGGUGAGGAGAUUAGAGAUAACUGAGGGCUGACCCAGCAAUGCCUGGCAGAAUUCCAUGACACCCCCUGUGGUGCUGUUCUCUCAUGCCACUGCAUGGGUUCCCCUUUAUUUUUCUUCCAUAUUGUAAUUAAAUUAAAAAUAUAACUUGAGCUUUUAAAAAUCUGUAAAGCUUUGUCUGGAGAAUCUCAUUGAUAUAAUUGCCGUGGGUUCUGCAGCAGCAAUUUUUUGUUUUAAUUCUUCCUCUCCUUGCUAUUCAGCUAAGUAAAAGGUAGAUGUCGAUGAUUGAACUACAGACUCUUGUUUUACAAAACUUAUGAAUGGCUCCCUGGGAAACACAGCCUUUAAGGACAAAGUACUGAACUAUUUUUUAGGAUAAAAUGUGGACACAGGUACAGGUGAGGCUAGCAAGGAGGGAGCAGAUGACGGUGUGGGGGCUAAUUUUUUUCCUUCAUCCCUAGGAAGUAUGUCAAUUUUCAUCGCCCAUGUUCAGCUUCUGCCGGAGGCACAAGGAGUCCUCUGGUGAUUUCAUGCUCAAAAAGCAACCAAAAGGCUACUGGACAUCUCUCAUGGUUGGCAGUGAAAACCCUUACUAUGAAUAAUGUUCUGUUUAUGAAAACUUUUUCGACAUCAUGUAAAAAUCUGUCUGAUGCUUUGAGGGAAUAGCAUGCACCCAAAUACGCUACUGAAAACAGGAUCGAGAACCAUACUCCAUGUGAUAGGUUCAGCCAUAUCACCUGCUAAAUAAAAGGAUAGCUGGGGGCAGGCGGAAAGACACCAAUGCAUAAUGCAGCUAGAAAGAAAGAGAAAGCAUAUUGUUUGCAUAAAAUUCAUUGUCUAGAUAAGAAUAAAAUACUAGAUACACGUGGCAAUGAACUUAGAUUGUGCCCGUUUUGAAAAAAAUCAAAUAAAUUUCUAGAAUUUAGUGCAUUUUUAAUAAUUUCUGUCAUAGAGCCCUGGGGGCGCAAAGGUUAAGCUCUCGGCUGCUAACUGCAAGGAUGGUGUUUCAAACUGACUCAGCGGCUCUGUAGGAGGAGGACUUGGCAGUCUGCUACUGUAAAGAUUACAGUCAAGAAAACCCUAUAAGGCAGUUCUACCCUUUCACAUGGGGUUGCUAUGAGUCAGAAUUAACUUGACAGUACGACAACAACAUUCCUAUCGUACAUUAAUCCUUGUUUGAACCGCAACAAAAUAUCCAUAUCACCUGCUUAGUGAUUUUUUUUUUUUUUUAAAGAAUAGGUGGUCCCAGGGUAUUUCCUAUUCGAUUCACAUGUCCAAAUUCUUCACCGUCUAGCUUAAUUUGAGAAACAUGACUUGAUUGCCUCUAGUGAGCCAAGCACACUUACUCUGUUGUUGUGUGCCGUUGAGUUGUUUCCGACUCAUAAAUACCACUAGAGGGGCUCUAAGUUGGUACAUAACUGAGUUCUUACCAUCAGAAUGUGCCCAAAGAGCAGACAGUUCUUAGCACUGAAGAGGGGAAGUAUGGACAAUUAAAUGUGUGCAAAAUACAGAGCCUCCUGAUAGGUCAGCCUGGUGGUUUUUCGAAAGAAGCAAAUGGUUUAGCAUUUAGGGAUUGUGGAACUAAAAAUAAAAUUAGAGCAAAGUAGGAAAAUAUUUAUAAGGAAUAAUUCAUCAGAUACAGACUAGAGAUCUUAUUUAUGUUUUACUUACAGAAAGUAAUAGACGUGUAUACAUUCUCAGGGUCUCGGAUGCUUCCGUUCGUUAAUCCAUUUUAGUAUUUUAGAUCACUGCUCAUUAAGGUUGUUACUUUAAUUUAUUUAAUCAAAAUAUUGACUCUAUUUUCAUGCUGCAAAUAACUGGUGACAUGAUUUGUAUUUUAAUGUGUCUUACCACUGAAAGCUAAACAAAAUAAUGUUUAUCCUUUUGCCAUUAAAAUAUUCAUGUUUUCAUAAUUUUAAAAUUUUAACUUAGAAGUUUUUUUAUGAAAAAGCCUUGUUUUCAGUUUUGCAAACUGCAAUCUUACGGUUGGCUUAAUGAAAAUUUAUAUAAUAGAACCUCCAAAUGAGGAAGUUAAGUCAUCUAUUUGUUCUGUGAAACAAUAGUCGUUGAAUUUCAACCAUCUAACUCUCUCAUUGAUGUUUGUUUGUUUGAGGUAUAGGAGCUGUAUCUCAUUGAAUAUUUCAAAGGCCAACUGUGACUUUGUGGAGCUUAACAAACAUUAUUUUAAUACAUUAAUAGGCCCUAAUAAGAACUCUAGCCAUUAGCUAAAUAAAUUAUCUUACUUUGGAAUGCUAUAUGGAAUACACGAAUAAUAUAGUCAUCUGAGUCUUUUAAGAGAUGGCUGCCAUGCAAACACAUGUGUGUGUGUUUUCCAACCAACGCUAGAUUGAGAUUUUAUUUUAAAGGAAAAUUUGCAAAUUUAUCUUUUAGAACAAUAAGAUGUUCCCUCUUAUUAUCUUAUUAUCUAAGGAUAUGAAAGUUGCAGCAGCAAAUUAUCUACUUGCUUUUGGCUAUAUUAGUUUUCUAUUGUUGCAUAAAAAUUUUCACAAACUUAGCAACUUAAAACACCCAUUUCUUAACUCACAGUUCUUUAGGUCAGAGCGUCAGAAUGGCAGGAAUGGGUUAUCUGCUCAGGGUCUCACAAUGCUGAAAUUAAGGUUUUGGCUGCCUGCCUUCUUAUUCGGAGCUCUGGAUCAUCUUCUAACUCCAUUCCUAUUAUUGUAAGAAUUCCCAUCCUUAUAGCUGUAGGACUAACGCCCCCAUCUCCUGGCUGGCUUUGGUCAGGGACCCCUUUCACCUCCUAGAGGCCACUCUCAGGUCCUUGCCUCAUGGUUCCUUCCAUCUCAGCAAUGGAGAACCCCCCACCUUGAAUCUCACUCAUUCUUCUAAUCUCUCUGACUUUCCCUUCUGCUCCUAGCCAGAAAACAUUGUUACUCAAGGGUUCAUGUGCUUAGGUAGGGCUCAUCCUGAUAAUCGCCCUUUCUAAAGAUCAACUGAUUAGUAAUCAUAAUUACAUCUAUACAAAUAAGUAGUAGUUUCAGAUGGUAGAUGGGCGUCAGUUCAUGCAAAAGCCUUUAUCCUCUCAUUGCAAUGGAACUGUUUUACCUAUAUUGUCUCCCCUGUAAAGUGAGAGAAAAUAGUAUGCUCAGCAGAACGCAGCGCAAAUAACACUUAUGACUAGUCAAUGAUAUUAUUUAUAUAAAGUGUUUAGAAUAUUGCAUGCUACACUUUAAACUCUCAGAAAUGUUAGCUAAUUUUAGUAUUGUUACCAUUAUUAUGAUUAUUAUGUCCUAUUGACAGUAAAUGAAGGCCAAGUAAGGAAGAGUAUGAACUUAAUAAUGUGAAGAUUGUCAACAAUUUACUGAGUAGUAGUAUUACUGAAAAACAUUGCAUCCCUGGUAAAAACCUUUGGAAGGCCAUUUUGAGAGCUACCGUGAUACCUUACUAGAUAUAUCGGGAACUGCCUGCACUUUGUUAAAGGAUGGGUUCCAUUCGAUUGGUGUAAACUAUGUUCUUUCCAAGAUCUGUUAAGUACCAGUUAUCUCUCUUUAAAGAUCAUUUUACCGGAGACAUGAAGACUGGAGACAUCCCAGCAAAUGUGGACACUUCUUAUCAGUCUUAUUGGUGUUGACCGUGCUGACCGAGCCUGUGUUGAAGGGGUGUCCUGAAAGUGUCCAGGUGUCAGCAAAGCAUAUCUGACUCUUCGCCAAAACACUUCUCCCUAGAAGUCUCAUAGCGUCUUCUGACCUGUGACUGUGUACAGUAACAGCAGCUUUGCGGCAUUUAUCCCACUCAGCUCUACUUUGGAAACCUUACUGGCGUAGCAGUUAAGUGUUAUGGCUGCUAACCAAAAGGCCAGCAGUUCUAAUCCAUCAGGUACUUUAUUUUAUUUUUAAAUUCUUCUUUUCUAUGACUUGUAAGAAAUCUUUGACUUUGUUGGUAACAAACAAAAUGAAAAUUAAUUCCUUUCAUAACACAAAGCUUGAAUAUUGUAAUUGGCAUAAAUUCAGUUCUAGUCUUUCUCCAAAAAUAAGAUGCUUACUCCAGCAUGAUUUGCUUCCUUCCUAAUUCUACAUAUUUGCAAUUUAGAAUGUUCUAUUCCUAUGGGACUAAUCUAAGCGCAGAGUGUUCUUUGAACUUAAUGUGUGCACUGUGGUCAGGUCAAUCCCAUCAGGGCAGAGAUUAAGAAAUGGCCCAGAACUUAUUUAAAUCAUGUAGUUGCCUGGAAAUAAGUUUAGCUUAUGCAAGCAUGCUGUAAAAUGUGACUGGAGACUGUUUCUCUUAAUUCUAACUCAAUUUAUUCGUUUUAAAACAAGAGCCAAAUAUUAAGAUAAUUUUCGCUGUUUAAUAUUUCUAACAUAAUUUGAUAGCUGUCAACAUAAUUCAUUUUUUAGUUACCUGAUAGGUAAUGAACGAAUCUUGCAAGUCUCAUCAUUUCUGUCAUGUCUUCCUUCCAUCUGCUCUUUUGUUUCUUUCCCUUCAGUUGCUUGACUCUCCGAAAUAUGUAAAGUACAUUUAAUUUUAAUCUAGAUGAAAGUUUAUUGGCAUGAGAGUCCCGUGACCAAAAGAAAUGUUGCAAAGCUGGUGUCUCUAUGCUAAUGCUCAAUAACGUUCAAAGAAGAAACUUUCUUUUCCUCAAUUACCUGGGGUUUCAGAGCAUCUAAUUGUCCUAAUUUUCCUCCUUCCUUGGUCAUCUCCUUCAUUUCCCCACCAAACCUGCUCCUUGUGUGGACUUCCCUUCUUGGGGCAAACUUUGCCUAGCCUCCUCUGUUUCUCACACCCCACAUCCAAACGAAUCAGCAAAUCCAGUGAGCUAUAUUUCAAAAUGUAACCCAGUAUCUGACAAUUUCUCACCACCUUCUUUACUUCCAGCUUGGUCCUGGCCACCACCCUCUUUCACCUGGAUUACAGUAACACCUCUUGACUGGUGUUCCUGCUUGUACAUUUGCCCACUUCGUUCUAGUCUCAACUCAUCAGAAGAGGGGACUGCUAAAACCUAGGUUGUGCCAUGUCACUACUUUGCUCAGAAUCCUUCAAGGACCUCUCAUCUUCAUCAAAAUUAAAAUCAAAAUCCUUAUAAUAGCCUACCAGCCGUGGGUUCCUCUUACCUCUCUGAUUCACCUCCUUCUACUCUUGCUCUGCUCCAGUCACACUGGCUUCCUCUCUCUUCCUCUCCAAGCACAGUGCUACCUCAGAGACUUUAAACUUUCUGUUAAUUCCAAACUUGGGCACUCACUCCUCUGAUAUCCUUUGUUUCACUUGCUUGGAUCCUCUGUUCUUUACUCAAAUAUUGUCUUUACUGCCCAUCCUUUUUUAUAUUUAUAACCACAACGCCCCUCUUUCUGGCACUUCCCAUCCACUUCUUAUUUUAUUUUUCUCCCAUGUAUGUCUAUAGAUUUUACUUAUGUAUUUUGUUUGUUCUCUGUCUCUCCUCUCCCAACUAGAAUAAAGGCUCCCAGUCUAUUUUAUAGUUCACUACUUUAUCCUCAGUCUCUGGCACUUGAGGACACUCAAUAAAUAUUCAUUGCAUGAAUGCAUGAAAGAUUACUGCCCAUCUUCCUCUCCUUGGGUUGUUGUGUGCUGUUGAGUCAGUUCCAACUCAUGGUGACCCUAUAGGGCAGAGCAGAACUGUCCUAUAGGGUUUCCUAGGUUGUCAUCUUUAUGGAAGCAUAUCACUAGGUCUUUUCUCUUGUGGAAUGGCUGGUGGGUUCAAACUGCUGACCUUUCGGUUAACGCCUGAGAGCUUAACCAGGGCUCCUUCUCCUUGGGUAGAAGCAGGAGAUAUAAAAUAUGAACUAUUGGAUGAUCACAUUUGCCACACUGGUUGCUGGAGAUUGGUUAAAAAAAUAUUUAGAGAACAUGCAUUUUUAAAAGAUUGAUUAAAUACUAUUCUGUUCAAACCUAAAAAAAAAGAAAAAAAAAACUGUAAGUAAAGGAAUCAAAAUAUAUUUAAAUUAAUUGUUUCUAGGUCAUUAAUGAACUUGACAGUGCUGUUGCUCUCCAGGCACUAUAUAUAGCUGAUAUCAAGCCAAAGGUCCUUCACAAUCCUUAAAAUCUCUUUGAAUUUCUGAAGAAAUACCCAGGCUUACGGGAAGAAGUUUAAUGAGACAUUGUGCUGUUCAUGAGAGAAGAAAUCAUAGUCUCUGACCUCAGGGGCAUUGAUGAAAUAAUAGAGCAAAAUCUCUAGGGAAAUUAGUUUUUAGGAAGUGGAAUCUGGUGGCUCAUUGCACAUUCUAAAUAGCGUCGGAGUAAGAAUGACAGUCUGGCUGAUUGGGUUUAGUGAUGUGGAUAGAUUUGGCUGCCACAUCAUUCAAACUGAAUUGAAAACCCUUAAAUAUCAAUGAGAUCUUACAAAGGUAUAAGAACUAAGGAAAAAAAAUGAAAACAAAAAACCAAACCUUUUGCCUUUGAGUUGAUCCCAACUCAUAGCAACCCUAUAGGACAGAGUAGAACUGCCCCACAGGGUUUCCAAGGAGUGGCUGGUGGAUUCAACUGCAGACCUUUUGGUUAUCAGCCGAACUCUUAACCACUUUGCCGCUGGGGAACAAUUUAAUCGAGGGCUUAAUUUAAAUGAGAACAUCAGGUAAGCUAGGGAUCAGGACCAUUUCAGUAUUAAGAUUUUAAUCAAUGAAGACAGAUAAUCUUAAAUUUGUUCUUGCACUCGCCUUAAUUUAUUAAUUCACAAACAUUGAUGGAAUAUCUACUGGGUACCAGGCACUAUGCUUGGACGGUGUACAUUGAUGACUGUGACAGACUGGAUCCUUGCCCUCACAAAGCUUUGUUCUCCUGGAGAAGAUUGACAUGCAAGCAGGCAAGUGAGUGCUAGAAGGGAAAAUAAAACGUUGUUAUUAGAGAGAAUGUUCUGUUUUUAUCCAUAAGGUUUUCAAAUGGUACAGGACCAAUGAUGCAUCCAAAUGGCACAGGACCAGGCCAUAUUAUAUGUAAGGUCAUCAUGGGUCAGGGCUGACUUGAUGGCAACUAACAACAAUAAAAGUAGAGAGAAUAACAGACGGCACAAAUGUUAAGCUGAGUGGUCAGGAAAAACUGGACUGAAGACUUGAUACCAGUUCCUAAAGUAUUUGAGUAAGCUAUACAUCGGGGGAGAAAAAGUCCCUGGGUGAUGCAAAUGAUUAACGUACUCGGCUACUAACUGGAAGGUUGGAAGGUUGGAGGUUUGAGCCCCCCUAGAGGCGCCUCAGAAGAAAGGCCUUGUGACAUCCUUCUGAAAAAUCAGCACAGUUCUACUGUGACACACAUGGGGUCACCAUGAGUCAGAAUCAACUCGAUGGCAACUGGUAUAUAUGCAAAUCCUCUGUAAGGGCAUCCAGAUUUGUGGCCUAGGUCCCCCUUUCCCACUUUCUGGAAGACUUUAUAUUCCUAGUUCCCUGUUUUCUUCUGCAAAUGCUUUUGGUUUUUCUUCACUGACUCUUUCCCUUCUCUCCCAUUAUAGAGUCUCUUCUAUUUGGGAAAAAAAGAAAUCAUGUUUAAACUCUUCUUUCUAGCUUUACUGACUUCAUUUCCUCUCUACUCAAAACAUUCCUUAGUGUGUUUAAAUGUGUUUCUGAGGCAUAAGUUCAUCGAAAAGACUAAUGCUCGUGUAUUCAAACAUCUAAUUCACUCGUGCUACUCCCGUCUUUGCUUCAGGUACCCGUGUCUUUUUGUACUAACUUAUGAGCCACUAAAUCUUAAAACAAUGAAUAUUUAUAAUGCAUCUGAUAGUAGAUGGCAGUUUUGAAUAGAUUAAACCGUUCCAGGCUAAAACAAAACUCUUGCUAAAAAGAAUUUAAAUACUUAAAUUAAGACCUGAACAAUGUAGAACCAUGUAAUACCACAUGACUCGGUGUGGAUGUGGAAUGGAUAGUUGUAAAAAGUAAAUAAAUAUUGAUUAAUGGUUAAAAGUUAAUAAAGUGAUUUUUUUUUUUUAGGUGUUUAAUCUCCAAGACACUGGGGAUGAAUGAGAUCACAUUAAAAUUAAUUCUCCAAUCUCAGUAUCUCUAGGCCCAUCUGCUCAAGCCUAAGUCCCAGUGACUUGCACAAUCUCUCUUGCUCAAGCAUCUCUGAGACUCUGAGGGGGCACCUUGCAAUUGCCUCUGUAUGGUUUUUCCAGGAUGCCACUUCGUGCUGGCCUGUACUUGACCAGUGGCCUGGACCCAUGCUUAUUCGUCCCUAAACUACCCAGUAGCAGACACCAGCAAGGUUGUUCUAGUUGUUAAUGCCCUCCAUUCCACCCAUGGCAGUGCCAACACACACAUUUGCAAAGUAGAAAGGGAAAUGUGUUCUCCCUUCUUGUUCUCUCAGACGAGCCCAGUAGCUGGGCUUUUUUUUGAACACUCAAGUUUUAGGAAUCUAGUGAAAAAGUUCUUCCAGUUCUUACAUUUAACCAUUUGUAUUUUCAGGAUACGACUGGGAAAAUUCAUGCAUUAAUCACUAUAAUCUACCAGAUUCUACAACUUUCAGAAUCUCAGGCUUUGUAGCUGAGUCUUUUUAUUCUUACUAGACUACUUUUCUUUAGAGUGAAUUUGUAACCAAAGACCUACUUUACGUUUUAUUGCAGAUGGGCUAGGUCAUUCUACAAUAGUAAACCUCCAAAAUCGCAGUUGGUUAGAACAACAAAGGUUUAUUUUUCACUCAUGCUCUGUGUUCACCCUUGGUUGAGUAUGGAAAUCCUAUGGGGCAGUUCUACUCUGUCUUAUAGGGCCACUAUGAGUUGGAAUUGACUUGAUGGCAACCAGUAAGGCCACUCACCUCCCAUGUAAACCUGUGGCUGCAAAUAAAUGCUGUCUGAGUUUCCGCUUCUGCCAAGCAGCAUACCUGUUUCUUACUCAGGGAUAGAGCUAAGGAGAGGCUACCCCAUCUGGAAAGUUCCCAGUCACUAUGGAUGGCAGAGGAGCUGGAAUAUCGUAAACCUGUUUCUAAUGUUUUUCCCCUGGAAGUGAGAGGUGUCACUAUGAGGUGACUUACUUCAUUAGCCAAAGUGAGUCAGGUGGCCAUGCCUAACUCCCAGGGGGCAAGGACGUACAAACCUGCCAUGUGCCUAGAAGGAGGAGAACUGACAGCGUUGAUGAACAGCACUAGUGAUGAUCAUAUUCCCCUUUCAAAAAUUUUCUGUAUAACCUUUUCCUCUCUCCCCAGCUAUUCUUGCCCCUUGUGACAUAUCUCUAUAUGUAUGACCUUCAGUCAUGUAAAAGGCUCAAGGUUCCUCUGUAUUAGUUAUCUGUUACUAAGUAAAAAAAAAAAAAAAAGUUCCAAAUUUAGCAAUUUGAAUCAACAAACAUCUAUUAUCUGACACGGUUUCUAAGUAUCAGGAAACCAGCAUGAAUUCGCUGCGUGAUUCUGGAUAAGGGUCUCUUAGAAGUUGUUGGCUGAGGACACAGUCAUCUAAAGGCUCAGCCACUUCCAUGUUCUCUCAUGUAGUAUUACCAGGUUUCAGUUCUUUGCUAUAUGAGCCUUUCCUCUCAUGACAGCUUGGGGACAUAACAGCUGUGUCCAUCAGGGUGAGAGAUGAGAGAGAGAGAGAUACCAAGAGAGAAGCUACAGUCUUUUCUAAUAUUGAACAUGCCAUGCUAUCACUUCUGCAGAAUAUUGUCAGUCACACAGACCAACCCUAGUACAGUUUGGGAAGGGGCUACACAAAUAUGUGAAUUCUAGGAAGUGGGGUAAUUAGGGCCCAGGUGGUGCAGUGGUUAAGGGUUUGGCUGCCAGCCAAAGAGUCAGCAGUUCAAAUCCACCAGCUGCUUUUUGGAAAUGCUAUGGGGCAGUUCUACUCUGUCUUAUAGGGUCACUAGGAGUCAAAAUCAACUGGAUGGCAACCAGUUUGUUGGUUGGUUGGUUCGUUGGUUGGUUUUUUGGGAGGUUGGCUACCACGCCCAUUUCAUAAGGCCACUCAUGUCCCAUGUAAACCUGAGGCUGCAAAUAAAUGCUGUCUGAGUUUCAGCUUCUGCCAAGCAGCAUACUCAACCAGGUGUAAAUGCAAUUAAAAACGUCUCUCUAAGGGGUCACUUCAUUUCAACUAGUGUUGAUCUUCUCCUGUGCAAUUAAAGGGUUCUUGCUCUUAACUCUCUGUGUCUUAUAUCCAAGGAGGCAUGUUCACUGUUCCACUGAACAUUUCCUUUAUUAAUAAUUUAUUAAAUGGUAUUUUUAAGUCACUUGUGUUUAGGUGGUUGUUAUGCUUUAAAUGUUAGCAGACAUAAUGCAUAACAAAUAAGAGCAAAUGAGCACUCAAUCGUAUUCCCUGCCCCUUGCUAUAGAGCCCUGAGCUGUGUGAGCUGAAUGUGACUUUAAAUAGAAUGCUGGGAGCAAUUAGAAAUAGUGGCACAGUGGCAGAAACCCCACAUUAAAACCAGCCUUGUCAGCGCUCUGUGAUUCUAGAUGCCAGGGCUCUUUUUGGGUUAAUCAAGAAAUCAUUGACAGAUAUUAGGGGAAAAGUACCAUUUUCUAAGUAGAAGGCAGUUCCCAUUUGAAGGGAGAAAAGAAUUUAUAGCCAUUAUAAUAAUAAAUAAGGUCAUGCAUAAGUGAAUUUUUAUGCACUCAUGGUUUUAUUGAGCAAAAAAAAAAAAAAAAGAAAGAAAUUUAUUUUCCUUUCUUUGUUAAUUGUUCUUAUAGCCAGACAAAAUAUGAACCCCACUGUGCGGGCAACUGGGUACUCCUUCCUACCUUCUCAUUUAUGUUGAAAGAGUUUUAUUUGUAGAAAACCCUCAAAUCAGCCUCUUAUUAUUGUGCCAGUGUUGUGUCUUGGGGUCAUUCAGCCAAACCGUACAACGCUACUGAUGCAGGCAGUUUGUUAGAAGCCCAAGGAUAGCUUCCCUCUUCUUCAUCCCUCCUUCGCCUAUUGUUUUUGCAUUUUUGGUUGGUUUUUCCUACCAUUCAAAUCUCUUACACCCCCAAAUUAUAGUACGCUGAUUAUGUGCACAGUUUCCACUCCUACCGGCCCCCUUUUCCCUCCCCCAGUGACAUCUCACUUUAUUCCCGAGAAAAACAACGCCCUCCCAUCUAAGCUUGCUGUGUUUACAGCUCUCUGCUCUUCCUUUCUCCUCCUGGCAGGCUGUUUUAAUUAAUUUUACCAAAUGACUUUCCUGGCAGCUGUAAAAAGAAAACGCAGAGCAAGUUAACAGCAAUCUAAUGCUGUACUUUUUGUCAUUUCUCUAAAAUGUAGAGAACUCUUUGGUCAUUGGAUUGAUUUUUAAUGAUCUAAACGAUCAGAUGCCUUCUCGCUGCACUGCAGCAGCCUGAAAAUAAUAGGAAGGGGAGGGGCUUGGGCACCGGGCGCUCACUCCACGCUGGGAGAGUAAUCCCCAACACCAGCCAAGGAGACAAUAUAGCAUAGCUGCCCUUGCCAAAUCAUGUAUUCGCUUUUUUAAACAAAAGCACCUGGCUAUUUUCAUUUUGCAUAUGAAAGAAUGAAAACAAGAUGUUUUUGACGAGGGUUUAGAAAGUGAAUAGGGUUAGGUAUCAAACUACAGCAUAAUUUUAUACGUAUUUUUGACAUAAGCAGGACGUCAGUAAGGUGCCUCCCAACAUCCCUAAAUAAUAUAUUGAACAUCCCAACAGUGGAGGAAAACAUUGGUACUAUUAUUAUU
This is a long non-coding RNA of Loxodonta africana (African savanna elephant), 21245 nucleotides long. RefSeq lists it as uncharacterized. Lineage: Eukaryota; Metazoa; Chordata; Mammalia; Proboscidea; Elephantidae. The record is from RefSeq and is a predicted model, not a curated record. The transcript is spliced from 4 exons.